UACGGGGGGAGCAAGCGUUGUUCGGAUUUACUGGGCGUAAAGGGCGCGUAGGCGGUCAGCACAAGUCAGUUGUGAAAUCUCCGGGCUUAACCCGGAAAGGUCAACUGAUACUGUGCGACUAGAGUGCGGAAGGGGCAACUGGAAUUCUCGGUGUAGCGGUGAAAUGCGUAGAUAUCGAGAGGAACACCCGCGGCGAAGGCGGGUUGCUGGGCUGAUACUGACGCUGAGGCGCGAAAGCCAGGGGAGCGAACGGG
RNAcentral lists this ribosomal RNA (254 nucleotides) under uncultured bacterium. RNAcentral describes it as "partial 16S ribosomal RNA". It matches the Rfam family "Bacterial small subunit ribosomal RNA", at positions 524 to 776 of the family's 1533-position model. The record is from RNAcentral.